AGCUUUGCGCAGUGGCGGUAUCGUAGCCAAUGAAGUUUACCCAAGGCGCGAUUAUUGCUAAUUGAAAACUUUUCCCAAUACCCCACCAUGAUGACUUGAAAUAUAGCUGGCUUUGGCAACUUUUGGCAGUCUCUAUGGGA
Molecule: small nuclear RNA, 140 nt
Filed under: Saimiri boliviensis boliviensis (Bolivian squirrel monkey)
Lineage: Eukaryota; Metazoa; Chordata; Mammalia; Primates; Cebidae
Description: U4 spliceosomal RNA (ENSSBOG00000002361.1)
Rfam family: U4 spliceosomal RNA
About the family: U4 small nuclear RNA (U4 snRNA) is a component of the major U2-dependent spliceosome. The structure of U4 snRNA from yeast and human has been reported.
Source: Rfam by way of RNAcentral